RNAcentral lists this ribosomal RNA (630 nucleotides) under uncultured Lysobacter sp. RNAcentral describes it as "bacterial SSU rRNA". It matches the Rfam family "Bacterial small subunit ribosomal RNA", at positions 337 to 967 of the family's 1533-position model. Lineage: Bacteria; Pseudomonadati; Pseudomonadota; Gammaproteobacteria; Lysobacterales; Lysobacteraceae. The record is from RNAcentral.
UCCUACGGGAGGCAGCAGUGGGGAAUAUUGGACAAUGGGCGCAAGCCUGAUCCAGCCAUGCCGCGUGUGUGAAGAAGGUCUUCGGGUUGUAAAGCACUUUUGUCCGGAAAGAAAAGCAUUCGGCUAAUAACCGGGUGUUAUGACGGUACCGGAAGAAUAAGCACCGGCUAACUUCGUGCCAGCAGCCGCGGUAAUACGAAGGGUGCAAGCGUUACUCGGAAUUACUGGGCGUAAAGCGUGCGUAGGUGGUUUGUUAAGUCCGAUGUGAAAGCCCUGGGCUCAACCUGGGAAUGGCAUUGGAUACUGGCAGGCUAGAGUGCGGUAGAGGGGUGUGGAAUUCCCGGUGUAGCAGUGAAAUGCGUAGAUAUCGGGAGGAACAGCUGUGGCGAAGGCGACACCCUGGACCAGCACUGACACUGAGGCACGAAAGCGUGGGGAGCAAACAGGAUUAGAUACCCUGGUAGUCCACGCCCUAAACGAUGCGAACUGGAUGUUGGGUGCAACUUGGCACUCAGUAUCGAAGCUAACGCGUUAAGUUCGCCGCCUGGGAAGUACGGUCGCAAGACUGAAACUCAAAGGAAUUGACGGUCCUACGGGAGGCAGCAGGACAAACUUAAAGGAAUUGACGGA